This is a long non-coding RNA of Taeniopygia guttata (zebra finch), 3024 nucleotides long. RefSeq lists it as uncharacterized. NCBI's taxonomy places the organism in Eukaryota, Metazoa, Chordata, Aves, Passeriformes, Estrildidae. The record is from RefSeq and is a predicted model, not a curated record.
GGAAACUCACGUGCCAGGAGCUCUCAGGUUUGGGAGUAUCCAUCUGAGUAUUUCAGGUACCAAAACCUUGGACAAAAAGAUAAAAUUGUCUUGCUACCUGAAUACUUAUUGUAAGAGCAGCACCUGUGGUAUGAAGCUUUGAAGGGAGAAUGUCUUUCCUUCUCUGGAGCUGCUCAGAACUGGUGGUGUUCAUUUUACCUUGGAGCUGAUCAGAUACCAGCCAAAUUGCUAAUUUUAAAUUAGAAAAUUAGAUCCUAACUGUAAAAGAACAAGUUUCAUUUUCUGUUUCAAGAGUUGUAUUCUGGAGAUAUUACAAAGUGCUGCCCGUGCCACCAGAGCUGCCUAUGAGCUGACAGAGGAUCACAGCCUCCUCACAUGGGUCCUGCGCAGCUUAGAGAAAAGGUUUCUGGAGAACAAGGUGAUAAAUUAAAUUAUUUCCUUACUGCAUACCAUAUGGCUAAUAAAUUUAGGAGACAAGAAAGAAAACAAGAAUCAAUCCCAGGAGAACAGGAAACUUCUUCCUAUUCAGCUUGUAAAUGAAUUUCUGUGUGUUUUGGUCACGUUAAUCAAACAUGUUCAGUAAGUCCUUUGUUUUGUUUUUUUGUUUUAGUUGGUUUGCAUUUCAUCCUCUGUCCAGUUUGAACUUUAUUAAGGCCAGGAGGAUUUCUUUAUCUCUGCUAGAUGGAUGGCUUUUUUACCUUCAGUUUCUGUGUUGAGUAGUGAAUUUGGAUGAGAUUUCUUUGACUGGAAGAUUUAGGUGUUUGAAUAAAUGGGCAAUAAAGUAAAAUGUUGUAAACAUAAAUGGGCAAUAAAGUAAAAUACACAGUUGCUGUCAAGUUCUUUGUCCUUAAUUCCUGGCCAUUCUGACAGUAGGGAUUAAGAGCUGUAGUGAUGGAUUUGCACACAUGGCACUUGUGUUUUCCUUUGCCAGGACUAAUGGAGAUCUGGCCAAGCUGAAUGAGUUGUUCAGCACCCUCAGCCCCCUGCUGCAAUACCGUGCUGUUGUUGUGGAGGCUUUUAGGGGGAUGAGGUGUUUCAGGGUCAACAACAGCAUCCUCCAGCAGGGAGCUGCUGCUGCUGCACAAGUGGAGCUUUGUCAGCCAAGACCUGCAGCUGCAGGAGAACCUGCAAGCCCUGGCUCAGAAGGACCAAAACAAAGAAUUGCUCAGUAAGUGCUGAAAUACUUCAGGGAAGGUAUAUUUUGUUGUAGCUGUUGCAGGCCAGCAGUUCAAAUGAGGCAAACUUCUCUGGAAGUAGUACUAACACCUUCUGUCUGACUGAUGUACCUUGAGGGAGGAGGAAAGGAAAUGGAAAGGCAUUUUUCAGAUCUUCCUUGUGGUGAUUUUGAACCUUGACACAGUUUGGAAACUUUGGAGAAGCACAGUUUGUGAAGGGAAAGAGCUUUAAAAUUAAACUUAGUGGCAAAUCUUGAGUCAGGCUUUGAAAAAGGGUAUUCUUUAAUGAAAUCUUAAAAGAAAAAGCAGUGCCUGGAGGCUUUGUGCUCAAAGGUGUGAAUCGUGCUGAGCGUGGAUGGGGAUCUGAAAAUGAUGUGUAAGUAAAAACAAUAAAUAAAUAAAGCAAGCAAAAGUUAAUAGUUGGCAUCUCGUCACCAAUUUUGAAGAAAGUAGAAAAAACCAGGACUUGUGUGUCUAGUUGUUCCUGUGACCAAAAAGUUCAAGGAACUUGAGAGUGGGAGGUCUUAAAACAACACUGGUUUCCUGCAGCAGCAGCUGCUUUAAGUGCACAUUAAAGCUUCUGUAGGUUUGUUUAAAUGUUCUGUAUCAGUUAAGAAAUCAUGUAUUUAAGGGAUUCUGUAAAAGCUUUAGCUUUUCUACAGUUUUUCCACCCUUUAAAACUCCUCAGAAAUACAUGAAUAGGGUCUGUGGAGUGAUGCCUGUAGCUUAGUGCAUGUGUGGGUUGUGUUGCUCCAGGCUUCAGGAGCUUCUCUCAUGCCCAGGCUGGGCGAUCCCAUUUGGAACAAGGUUCCCUGAGAGCUCCUGGAGCCCCCUUGAACAGCGCAGGCUCCAUCAGGCUGCUAAACGAGGCUGCUACUUGCCAUUGUAACAACUGAAUCGACACAGGAGAGCACCUUACUUGCACAAUUUUGUUCCAGGAAAAUCCUUUGGAGUAUCUGAUGUUUGUUUUGGUGGUGGUUAUCUUCUUACAGAAAAUAUUAAAGACAAGAACAAACCUCAAGCCUCAUCUCAUGUGUAUCGUCACACUCGGAAAAAGAACGGGCUGGAAGAAGAUGACACCGCUGCAGACAUGGAAGCGUCUGAGCUGGAGAAAUGCAGAGAACAUCUGAAUUCCAUACUUGCCCAUUGGGACUGUGAUAAAUGGAUGUGAUUUGUGCUGAAUAAGUUUUACUUAUAUCAAUAAUUUGGGAAAAUAAUUGGAAAAGUAUAUGUGAUUAUUGUUAUGAAGCAGAUGGGUGUCUUCAAGAAUAUGGAAAGUUGGAUGCAGGAGUUGGAUUCAGCCUUGGGAAUGGAGGAAGUCAGGAACUGACUCCCAAACCAAAACUGGCAUCAACUGAAGAUAAAAGAUACCUCCCAGAGCAGGACUGACUUUGAAUAUGAAUAAAAUUGGGACCAUUCCAGAUAGGGAACCUAAAAUAGUGGUCUUUUCUAUGAAAUAAUAAGGCUCAAUUGGAACAUAAUGCAUCAAGCUCAAUGUGCAUGCACAACCUGCCAUGUCAUUCAGAAGGACCUUCGGCCUUCCUCCAAGAAGACCCCCAAAGAGACCAGAAGACCCCUUAACAACAAUGGGAGCAUGUGCUGUGCAGUAGGGUGACGUAGAUUUCAAGAAUCAAAAAUAGGAGGAACUAUUGCUGACUAUGUAUUAGCAUACAGUAUAAAAGUUGUGCUUGGAUUCUUUUGCCCUUUGUACAGAUGGCAGGGUGGAAAGCCCUCCCCGUACCCCGACUGGUUUCGCUUACGCUUUAUCUGAACCACUGCCAAAUAACUCUUUGUAGCCACUUCAUUAUAUUUGAUUGUACCCCAAUUAAAAAUUGCUGCUAAAUUUCAA